This 497-nucleotide ribosomal RNA is filed under the name uncultured bacterium. RNAcentral describes it as "partial 16S ribosomal RNA". It matches the Rfam family "Bacterial small subunit ribosomal RNA", at positions 28 to 507 of the family's 1533-position model. The record is from RNAcentral.
GAUGAACGCUGGCGGCGUGCCUAAUACAUGCAAGUCGAGCGAACAUAUGAGGAGCUUGCUCCUCUAACGUUAGCGGCGGACGGGUGAGUAACACGUGGAUAACCUACCUAUAAGACUGGGAUAACUUCGGGAAACCGGAGCUAAUACCGGAUAAUAUAUUUAACCGCAUGGUUCAAUAGUGAAAGACGGUUUUGCUGUCACUUAUAGAUGGAUCCGCGCCGCAUUAGCUAUUUGGUAAGGUAACGGCUUACCAAGGCAACGAUGCGUAGCCGACCUGAGAGGGUGAUAGGCCACACUGGAACUGAGACACGGUCCAGACUACUACGGGAGGCAGCAGAAGGGAAUCUUACGCAAUGGGAGAAAGCCUGACGGAGCAAAGCCGCGUGAGUGAUGAAGGUCUUCGGAUCGUAAAACUCUGUUAUUAGGGAAGAACAAAUGUGUAAGUAACUAUGCACGUCUUGACGGUACCUAAUCAGAAAGCCACGGCUAACUACGUG